This 253-nucleotide ribosomal RNA is filed under the name uncultured bacterium. Its description in RNAcentral is "partial 16S ribosomal RNA". It matches the Rfam family "Bacterial small subunit ribosomal RNA", at positions 524 to 776 of the family's 1533-position model. The record is from RNAcentral.
UACGUAGGGUGCAAGCGUUGUCCGGAAUUAUUGGGCGUAAAGAGCUCGUAGGCGGCUUGUCGCGUCGGCUGUGAAAACCCGCGGCUUAACCGCGGGCUUGCAGUUGAUACGGGCAGGCUAGAGUUCGGUAGGGGAGACUGGAAUCCCUGGUGUAGCGGUGAAAUGCGCAGAUAUCAGGAGGAACACCGGUGGCGAAGGCGGGUCUCUGGGCCGAUACUGACGCUGAGGCGCGAAAGCGUGGGGAGCGAACAGG